Molecule: long non-coding RNA, 3036 nt
Filed under: Gallus gallus (chicken)
Lineage: Eukaryota; Metazoa; Chordata; Aves; Galliformes; Phasianidae
Description: long non-coding RNA NONGGAT011638
Source: RNAcentral
CCUUCUGGAGGACUUGCUGGAAGAGCUAAUGUGCGUAAUGCUUUUGUGGUGACUGGUUGCUGUGGUGAUGCUGCCAAGCAUGUUCCUUGUUAUGUGAGAUUAUCUAAAAACACAGGAGGAUAAUACUCUGCAUCAUCUGGGAGUAGUGAAGAGAAAUCCAAACCUAUCAUAUCUGAGGAAAUGCUGGAUAUUGGAGGAUAAUGGAAUGGCUUGGGAUAGUCUGUUAACAGCGGAGGAAUAGCAGCAGUAUCAACUCUGGCGGACAAUAGUUUAUACAAGAGAACCCUCUUUGUUGGGCUUCGUUGUGUUUCCAACAAGAAUAUAUACUUCAUUUUGGCAGGAGGAUUUUCCACUUCAUCAAAAGAGUUUUUAGUUGUCAAGUCAGCGAUAUCAACUUUUUUCUUGUUUUCCUCAUUGCCCACCAUCUUGGAACAUGGUUUUGUAACAACACCAGAUCUUUCUGUUUUGGUGCGCUGUGGACUUCAGAUUAUCACACCACCCCUCUUAGGCCUCGUGUGCCACAAGGAACCAUCUUCUUGGAGUUUAAUCUCACCUACACCUGAGCAUUCAUCAAGGAUUUCUAUUAAGAGCCCAUCUAGUGUUAGGCUCUCAUAAGAUGCCUUUUUGUUGCAGAUGGAAUGGAUCCAGGUAGGCUUCUGAUAGAAUCAUUCAUUUGAAGAUGAAGAGUAGCAUCAAAACAUUGCAGGUGUGUGCAAGUAGGGAUUGACAGUCUCAUUUUUCACAGAGAGUACAUCAGAGAUGACAGUGAACUUGCCAGUCUGCAGUUAGGAUCCGUACUUAGUUCUUCUUUAAUUAGAGCUCUAGAAUAAUCAGGGUUUUGGAUACCUUUCACUUUUACCCUCUGCAAAAGCAUAGCUGAAGUGAGAUGACAUAUGAGAUACAGAGACAUUGAGUAAUUCUUUCCAAUUUCAGAAGCCCAGGAAAUAGAAAUCUAUUCUGGCACUGCUGACAACAGCCUAUCUAGAGAUGUUAUAUUCAAGGGGCAUCCAGAUUCCUUCUGUUUAAUUCCAUUUGGUGGAGCAUAUCCAGCAAUGGAAACAGCUUCCAAUUUACUUUAAUGCACAAACUGUUAGGGUAAUUAUCUUCUUGAGGGCAGUUUGUCUCUGCUUGCCAUAAUCUUAGCUGCACUUGGACUUGGUAAUCUCUUUUGUCCCCUGGAAAGAAGUCCCUGGAAAUACAAAUUUCUCUGACCUGCUGAGGUGUUAAAGCAAAGAGGAAAAACUAUUCUUGGAACCUCUGAAUACUGCUCUGUACUAAACUUGUAGGCUUGUUAAGUAGUAGUACAUCAAGCACAUUGUAAAAAGGCAGGCUUUUCAGCUGGAUGUCAGGAUGGGCAGGUGGGAUGGAAGGGGAUGGCUGCUGCAUCUCAAAGUGAGCCUUAGUGUCUUGCAGGAGCAUGAAGGUGACAGGCAAGGAAGGAAACUGAGGUGUGACUAAAGCAGAAGGGAGUGGGUGAAUCCCAGCAAUAUCCCACACAGGGUCUGUGGGAGAGGAACUGCUGUCCAGAUGAAAAACAGCAGGUUUUAUAGCUGAUAAAUCCAAAAGUCCUUUGAUUGUCUACGGGUACCUACACCUAUAGAGUUCAUAGAAUCGUAGGGAUUGGAAGGAAUCUUUGAAGCUGAUCUAGUUAUGCCCCCUGCUAAAGCAGGUUCCCUACAGUAGAUUGCACAGGAAAGUGUUCAGGCAGGUCUUGUGUAUCUCCAGAGCAGGAGACACCACAACUUCUCUGGGCAGCCUGUUCCAGUGCUCCACCACCCUCACAGUAAGAAAGUUCUUUCGCAUGUUUUUAUGGAACUUCUUGUGUUUUCGUUCAGGCUCAUUGCCCCUUUUCCUGUCACUGCCACUGUCACUAGGCACCACCAAAAAGAGCCAAGUCCCAUCCACUUGACACCUGCCCAUAGAUAUUUAUAAGCAUUGAUGAGAUUUUUCCCCCCCCAGUCUUCUUCUCCAGGCUGAACAGCCCCAGGUCUCUCAGCCUUUCCUCAUACAGGAGACGCUCCAGGCCCACAGCCAUCUCUGUGGCCCUCUGCUGGACUCUGAGUAGUUCCCUGUCUUGAAUUGGGCGCAGUACUCCAGAUGUGGCCUCACCAGGACAGAGAGGAGGAGGAUCACCUCCCUCAACCUCUGGCCACACUUCUUAAUGCACCCCAGAAUACCAUUGGCCACAAGGGCACACUGCUGAAUCAUGGCCUACCUGUUGUCCACCAUGUCCUUCUCUGCAGAGCUCCUCUUCAGCAGGUCAGGCCCUAACCUGUGCUGACGCAUGUGGUUAUUCCUCACCAGGUGUAGGACCUACUCUUGCUCUGGUUGAAUAUCAUCAGGUUCCUCUCUGCCCAACUCUCAGUCUGUCCAGGUCUCACUGAAUGGCAGCACAGCCUUCUGGUGUGUCAGCCACUCCUCCUGGCUUUGUAUCAUCAGCAAACUUGUUGAGGGUGGACUCUAUCCCUUCAUGCAGGCCACUGAUGAAGAUGUUGAACAAGACUGGAACCAGCACCAACUCUUGGGGAGUACCACUGGUUCCUGGAUUUUUAUCUGAACUGCUGGGCUGCAGCUGCUUUUCAGUAAGUGCAGUGCCCUCGUCAGGAGGUCAUUUCAGUCUGCUUUUAUUAUUCCCAACGAAGCUCAACAGUACUUGUAGUUCAGAAACAUAAAACCUAACACCGUAUUCUGCAGUUCCUUGAAAUCUGCUAUCUUCUGCACACUGAUAGAACCAAGUAUUAUGCUGUGCAUUGUUCAAGUUCUAAAUGCAUAAAAUAUCAGCAGUCUUGAGGAAUCUUUAAUUUGCUGAACAUUUUGAUUCUGCAGAAUAAUAAUAAAACCCUCAGAUGUAACUUCCAGUGUCAUGGUUCCCAUCUCUCAUGCUCUUUGACUUCAGCUGAUGAAGAACUUGCUGGAUCCUACAAGCCCUGGUCCUGCUUUCUCCUCUAGGCAUGCAUGGAUGUGGUCUGCUUUGGGCAGAGCUACCAGAGGUCUCCAGACAGGUGCAAGGACUACCUAGCUGCCAUGUGUUCUCCU